Molecule: ribosomal RNA, 1056 nt
Filed under: Cellulomonas sp. 746H75
Lineage: Bacteria; Bacillati; Actinomycetota; Actinomycetes; Micrococcales; Cellulomonadaceae
Description: bacterial SSU rRNA
Rfam family: Bacterial small subunit ribosomal RNA
Source: RNAcentral
UGCAAGUCGAACGGUGAUGGCCAGCUUGCUGGUCUGAUCAGUGGCGAACGGGUGAGUAACACGUGAGCAACCUGCCCUUCACUCUGGGAUAACCACGGGAAACGGUGGCUAAUACCGGAUAUGAGACGUACACGCAUGUGUCGCGUCUGGAAAGAUUUAUCGGUGAAGGAUGGGCUCGCGGCCUAUCAGCUUGUUGGUGGGGUAGUGGCCCACCAAGGCGACGACGGGUAGCCGGCCUGAGAGGGCGACCGGCCACACUGGGACUGAGACACGGCCCAGACUCCUACGGGAGGCAGCAGUGGGGAAUAUUGCACAAUGGGCGCAAGCCUGAUGCAGCGACGCCGCGUGAGGGAUGACGGCCUUCGGGUUGUAAACCUCUUUCAGCAGGGAAGAAGCGCAAGUGACGGUACCUGCAGAAGAAGCGCCGGCUAACUACGUGCCAGCAGCCGCGGUAAUACGUAGGGCGCAAGCGUUGUCCGGAAUUAUUGGGCGUAAAGAGCUCGUAGGCGGUUUGUCGCGUCUGCUGUGAAAACCUAAGGCUCAACCUUGGGCUUGCAGUGGGUACGGGCAGACUAGAGUGCGGUAGGGGUGACUGGAAUUCCUGGUGUAGCGGUGGAAUGCGCAGAUAUCAGGAGGAACACCGAUGGCGAAGGCAGGUCACUGGGCCGCAACUGACGCUGAGGAGCGAAAGCAUGGGGAGCGAACAGGAUUAGAUACCCUGGUAGUCCAUGCCGUAAACGUUGGGCACUAGGUGUGGGGCUCAUUCCACGAGUUCCGUGCCGCAGCAAACGCAUUAAGUGCCCCGCCUGGGGAGUACGGCCGCAAGGCUAAAACUCAAAGAAAUUGACGGGGGCCCGCACAAGCGGCGGAGCAUGCGGAUUAAUUCGAUGCAACGCGAAGAACCUUACCAAGGCUUGACAUACACCGGGAAAAGUGCAGAGAUGUGCUCCCCGCAAGGUCGGUGUACAGGUGGUGCAUGGUUGUCGUCAGCUCGUGUCGUGAGAUGUUGGGGUUAAGUCCCGCAACGAGCGCAACCCUCGUCCCAUGUUGCCAGCG